Molecule: ribosomal RNA, 459 nt
Filed under: uncultured bacterium
Lineage: Bacteria
Description: partial 16S ribosomal RNA
Rfam family: Bacterial small subunit ribosomal RNA
Source: RNAcentral
CCUCCGUUCUUCUGCCGUUCUUACUAUUUUUCCAUUUUCUUUAUCCUUAACCAGCCAAUCCGCGUGAGGGAUGAAGGUACAGAGUAUCGUAAACCUCUUUUGUCAGGGAACAAAGGCGGGGACGCGUCCCCGGAUGAGUGUACCUGAAGAAAAAGCAUCGGCUAACUCCGUGCCAGCAGCCGCGGUAAUACGGAGGAUGCGAGCGUUCUCCGGAUUUAUUGGGUUUAAAGGGUGCGCAGGCGGUCUGUUAAGUUAGCGGUCAAAGCCCGGGGCUCAACCCCGGCCCGCCGUUGAGACUGGCAGUCGCGAGUUGGAGAGAAGUAUGCGGAAUGCGCGGUGUAGCGGUGAAAUGCAUAGAUAUCGCGCAGAACUCCGAUUGCGAAGGCAGCAUGCCGGCUCCACACUGACGCUGAGGCACGAAAGCGUGGGUAUCGAACAGGAUUAGAUACCCGUGUAGUC